This 242-nucleotide long non-coding RNA is filed under the name Brassica rapa (field mustard). Its description in RNAcentral is "long non-coding RNA (BRAP_LNC008404)". The record is from RNAcentral. Lineage: Eukaryota; Viridiplantae; Streptophyta; Magnoliopsida; Brassicales; Brassicaceae.
UGUUGAGAAGAAGGCAUUAGAUGAUGAGAUGGAUUGGUAAUAAGAGAGUGAGGCUUAGGAGAGUAAUGGGUUGGAGGAAUGAGUUUGGGAGAGGCUAGGCCGUACAGGCCGUACCAUGGCCGUACAGGCCGUACAAGAGUAGCUCGACCAAGAUCACUACCUAAGGGAAGUUACUACACUCGGUUAACUUAAGAGGUAAAGGAGAAGUCUUACUGAGGCUUUACUGAUGUUACCGCGUGGAG